Molecule: small nucleolar RNA, 117 nt
Filed under: Sorex araneus (European shrew)
Lineage: Eukaryota; Metazoa; Chordata; Mammalia; Eulipotyphla; Soricidae
Description: Small nucleolar RNA SNORA31 (ENSSARG00000020074.1)
Rfam family: Small nucleolar RNA SNORA31
About the family: ACA31 (SNORA31) belongs to the H/ACA class of snoRNAs which are thought to guide the sites of modification of uridines to pseudouridines. ACA31 is predicted to guide the pseudouridylation of U3713 in 28S rRNA and U218 in 18S rRNA.
Source: RNAcentral
ACACUGAUAGACCUUGAACAAUUUACUGUAGUUCUUUUGGUUUGCCCUUGAAGAGGAAAGAAAAAGAAAAUCUCAGCACUUUCUGUCUCUAUGGCAGUCAAACAAGAGAGAACAUCU